CCCAGUUCGGAUCGCAGGCUGCAACCCGCCUGCGUGAAGUUGGAAUCGCUAGUAAUCGCGGAUCAGCAUGCCGCGGUGAAUACGUUCCCGGGCCUUGUACACACCGCCCGUCACACCAUGAGAGUCGGGAACACCCGAAGUCCGUAGCCUAACCGCAAGGGGGGCGCGGCCGAAGGUGGGUUCGAUAAUUGGGGUGAAGUCGUAACAAGGUACC
RNAcentral lists this ribosomal RNA (214 nucleotides) under uncultured bacterium. Its description in RNAcentral is "partial 16S ribosomal RNA". It matches the Rfam family "Bacterial small subunit ribosomal RNA", at positions 1287 to 1500 of the family's 1533-position model. The record is from RNAcentral.